Molecule: regulatory RNA element, 109 nt
Organism: Peptococcaceae bacterium CEB3
Lineage: Bacteria; Bacillati; Bacillota; Clostridia; Eubacteriales; Peptococcaceae
Rfam family: TPP riboswitch aptamer (THI element)
About the family: Vitamin B(1) in its active form thiamin pyrophosphate (TPP) is an essential coenzyme that is synthesised by coupling of pyrimidine and thiazole moieties in bacteria. The previously detected thiamin-regulatory element, thi box was extended, resulting in a new, highly conserved RNA secondary structure, the THI element, which is widely distributed in eubacteria and also occurs in some archaea.
Source: Rfam
GGAAUAUUGAACGGGAGCCCAAGGAAUUGGGCUGAGAGGGUGGUUAACGUUACCGCCGACCGAACCUGAUCUGGGUAAUGCCAGCGGAGGGAAGACUGGGCUAAAAAGC